Molecule: RNA transcript, 1612 nt
Organism: Glycine soja
Lineage: Eukaryota; Viridiplantae; Streptophyta; Magnoliopsida; Fabales; Fabaceae
Exons: 2
Source: RefSeq, a predicted model, not a curated record
GUUUUUGUUUUGAGGUCAGAAUAUCUUUGACUCUUUGUUCUUCCCCAACUAUAUAUUAUUAUCCAAGAAGCUACAGCAAACUAGAAAGGCUACAUAGGUAGCAAUAAGAGCUGCAGAAAGAACCAGAGAAGUCUCGAUCACAUAUCAUGCAGCAAGAAUUCGCAGUGUCGUGGGCUUAAUGCAUGUGAAAAAUCUUAAAACUCGAGUUUUUUUCUUUUUCAGAAGUGAGGAAACUAGAGGGGUUGAAAAAAGGUGUCUAUUUGUUUCUCAUGAAGCGACAAAAAAUUAAAAGGUAUUAAAAGCUAAAUCAGGUAAUGAAGAGGUCCUAUUUAAACAAUGGGUCUUAUAUUCUCUCCAGUUUUGUAGCCUGUAACAAUUCUGCACAUUUUGCAUUGCAUUUAAGGCUAUGUCUUUAUAUUUAAUGACCGAUGCAGAGAAAAGUAAUUAAUGAUGAUGAUCGCAUUUUCUUAGUAUAUUAGUAUUGAAAUCCCCAAUGACCAAGUGAACAACAACAACAACCCCUUGUCCUUUCAAAUUCAAGGGAACUGUGGUAGAAGAAGUACAUGUAUUUAUGCUUUUUGUUUCACUUUCAUUGACAGCUUCUAGCUCUCUCUCUCUCUCUCUGUGCUUCCGCUGCUGCUACAGAUAAGUCAGAUAACAAUUAAUGAGUUAUGUAGAUUUUCCAGGUGGUGUGGUGAGGUGAGUCUCCUCCAUGCCAUGCCAUUCAUUAAUAAGAUGAUAUAUUUCUAAGUGACUUUUGUGGCUGCAAUCUGGCUUUAUCCUUUCGGUGUAUAUGGCAAAAAACUAAUUUUCGCGUCAGAGAGGUGAAAUGAUAAGAGUUUUUUCAGGAUGGAGCCACCUAUGUUGGGGGUUGAAGAGGAAUGUCACAGCAAUGAAUCUGGAUGGACCAUGUACAUAGGGUCCCCCAGAGACGAGGAUGCACAACAUUGUGAUGAUGAUGAUGAUAAUCAUAGCCUAGAAGAAGAUUAUUAUGAUUAUGAAGCAGCAGCAGCACAACAUUGUGAUGUUGAAAGUGACGAUUCCAUGGCUUCUGAUGCAUCUUCUGGCCCGAGUAAAUCAAAGGAGCAAGUGAAGAAGAACAACAAGUAUUGCUCAGAAAAAAAGGUGGAAAAGAAAAAUGAGAUCAUGGCUUUCGCCAAUAGCAUGGAUAAGGCUCCAGCAGCAGUUCAGAACGGCAGCAAAGUCAAGGUGAAUAAAAAUUAUAGGGUGGGAACAAGGAAAUUAUAGAUGUAUUAAUUUGAAACUUAUAUGCCUAACUACCAGGUUUAGCUUAUUUUCUUAGGUUUUAAUUGGUUUUUUUUCUGUCACAAAUUACUACUAUAUAUGCACUGCAUGUGUUUAACUCAUUUCUUAGGCCGCAUUAAUUAGCUGCAGCAUGCACGGAUCAGCGGCUAUUUGUUUAAUUAAUUUCUAAAUAUUUCUACUUCUUUUUCAUGCGUACUACUACACAGUCUAGACUAUAGUUUGUGUAUGUAUGAGAAAGAUGAACACUACAUGACGUGUACAAGGAGUUUGAACAGUGAGUCAAAUUACUAUACAAUAACUAUGUAAUAUUUAUUUUUAGCCAUUUAUCCUCUUUAAACAAGGCUAA